This 592-nucleotide long non-coding RNA is filed under the name Capra hircus (goat). RNAcentral's name for it is "lncRNA (ENSCHIG00000007635.1)". The record is from RNAcentral. Lineage: Eukaryota; Metazoa; Chordata; Mammalia; Artiodactyla; Bovidae.
CGGGAGAGCAGGGUGAGAAGCGAUGGAGAGAAAGCAGAGCCAGAAUGCCGCCAGGGAAGCCCUAGAGUGAUUUAAUGCAGCGGAGUGAGAGGUCCCAAUUCACAUUCUAAAGCAGUCGUCUAGACAGCUGUGCUCACAGGCAGUGACCCAUCAGACAAUGGCCGAGUAUCAUUCUCUGGGCAGUGAAGGAGUUAGGGGCCUCAGAAGAGAAACAACAAAUUUUUUAAAAAGCGCAAGAAUGUCGUGCUUUCCCUGUACUUCAGAGAGCAGGUUUCAUAUAUAUUUCAACACCCGGCAUGCUCAAGAAUGGAACAGACAUGCACGUGCCUGCAAAACCAAAACACAGCUGGAGAAUUAUUGGAGUCCUCGUACUUGGAAUUGGCAUCAACAGACAACAGCCUUCUCACACGGAAACAAAGGUGUCAGUCCGGAUCACAUAGUAACUCUGAUAAUUAAAAUUUUCACUGUGCUUACUUCAGUGGCUCUAGUGAAUAACAUAUUUAUAAUGUGCAUAAAUAACACCAAUGGGAGGUUUAAAAUCCUUACAAAGAUGUGUCUUUGUAGGUUCCCAAAUAAAAUAUAUAUUCUUUGA